GGCUCCCGCGGCCAGGUUCGCGCCGGCGCUGCAACCGCCGAGCGCCAGGCGCCCGGGGUCGGUGCCGAGUUCGGCGGUGGCGUCC
Molecule: transfer RNA, 85 nt
Filed under: Actinoallomurus iriomotensis
Lineage: Bacteria; Bacillati; Actinomycetota; Actinomycetes; Streptosporangiales; Thermomonosporaceae
Description: tRNA-Cys
Source: RNAcentral